UGGUAACCAACUGGUAAUAUGAGGCCGUUAAUAUGAGAGAGACGUCAGACCUAGUUGGGCUUCGAGAGAAAGGCGUCAGUAGCGUUUUGGAAUUCACCGUUCUAUAAAUAGAGCCGUUUCGACAGACUCGAUUCAUAUCAUUUUUGACGAUCGACAUAUGCGAAAUAUAUAUUACUAUAUUGUUAUUAUGGCUGGACGUCAAUCGCGAGUUUUGGAUGUGGAUGAUGUUUUGUGGCAUCUAGAGAACGACGAAUUUUUUCCCGAAGAUGCAUCGGAUGAUAACGACAGUAUGAAAGUGUCUGAUUUUUCCGAGGAAGAGGAUAUUUUAGACACUCAAGCUGACGAAGUUUCGGAAGAUGACGAACGUUCAACGUCUACUGCUCCACCUCGGAGACGAGGCGGGCGUGCUACCAGGGCUGGGGCGAGAAAAAAAUGGUACGUCGCUCCACACCCAGAGGGCGUGAUGCUCGUCCAAGAAACAACUGGACAAAAUCCUUCACAGCGAGGACAAUUCGACCUUUCGGGGGUCAACGACAGGUGCGCAAUCGCCACUUGCACCAAUCGUCGAGUCCCGUAACGUUCUUUCACCAGUUUUUCAAUUCAACUGUAAUUGGAUUUAUAGUAGAAAUGACGAACCUCAACGCCAUCAGAAAACUCCAAGCGGCGGCUGCUACGACCGGCACCGAGUGCAAGCAAUGGGACUCCGUUACUACGGCGGAAUUUCAUUGUUUCCUCGGUCUAAUCAUACUGAUGGGAAUAAUUCGUCUUCCCGUUAUGGAUUUAUAUUGCGGAAGAAGAACUGGCUCCUUGACAUUCCAUGCUUCAACGAAAUAAUGCCAAGGCAGCGCUUCAGAGAUAUUAUGCGAUGCUUACAUCUUUGCCAUGAAAGUGAAGCACCCGCUGCUGACAAUCCAAACAAGGACAAAAUGUUCAAGAUUCGAAAAUUUUUAUCAAUAAUUUUACCACUAUUUGGAAAUGCUCAUAGUAUGGGCCGGGAAAUAUCCACCGACGAGACCUUUAUCCCAUUCAAAGGAAGAAUAAGUUUCCGUCAAUUUAUCAAGUCAAAGCGGGCACGAUUUGGGUACUUGCGGAAUCGUCGACUGGAUAUGUUUCCCGGCUCCAAUUUUUUACGGAAAAAGACCCUACUUCAAAUCCAGAGGAGGGAUUAUCCUCAAGAGUGGUGAAAUAUCUGAUGGAACCAUUUGUCGACCUGAAUCACCACCUUUAUGUCGAAAAUUUUUACACAAGCCCUGAACUUGUUUCAUACCUAUUAUCCAAGGAGAUAUAUGCAUGCGGAACAUUCCGCGCUAAUCGCAUUGGAUUUCCGAAGGAACUCAUAAUAAAAUCGAUUCGAAGUUUGCAGAGAGGGGCGACCGAUUGGUGAAUAGCUGGGGACCUGCUAGCCCAGUCAUGGGUCGAUAACAGGGCCGAUUAAUUUCUAACAACCAUUCAUAACCCUGAAUAUACCAGCGACUAUUCUGGUUCAAAAAUCGUCAAGCGAAAAGGAGGCCGUUCUACGUCACAGACUUCGGAAAUUCUAUGCCCCCCUGUACUCAGAGAUUACAACUCUCACAUGGGGGGUGUGGAUCUUUCCGACCAAAUGAGAAAAUAUUAUAAUUUGACGAGACGUUCGAAAGUAUGGUAUCGGCGCGUAUUUUUAUACAUUAUUGAAGUGGCACUCCACAAUGCAAGAGUGCUGGCCGACAACAUCGAAGGCAAGCACUUGGACGGAUUUACGUUCCGGAUGGCAAUUGUAACUGGCCUGAUUGGGGAUCACAGGUCUCUCGGCGGGUGUCGGGGUCAGGCACCGUUCUGAGACUGCAAAACGUUGGGCGCCACCUUCCAUCGUUUGAUGGAAGACAGGGUGUGUGCCCAGUGUGUUCAAAAAAAAGUAAUUUGGCAUCGAGACUGAAGAAAAACCACAUGUUUCACGAAGCAGAGUAAAAUGCGCCGAGUGUGAUGUACACCUUUGUGUACUUGCAAACAAAACUUGUUUUGCUGAUUGGCACACCAAACUAGAAUAUUGGCGUUAGAGAGCGGGUGUUAUAUUUUGUAAAUAUUGUUUUUUUCAUUAUUUUUUUUCUGAAGUUUUCUGCUCAGUGUAUAUAUUUUGGUUUGUUGUUAUCGGUUUUUUUUUAUAUUGUUAUUGUUUCGUUUUUUUUUACUUGACACCAGCCGAAUAAAACUUUGUUAUUGUGU
Non-coding RNA from Styela clava, 2199 nucleotides. Lineage: Eukaryota; Metazoa; Chordata; Ascidiacea; Stolidobranchia; Styelidae. The record is from RefSeq and is a predicted model, not a curated record.